This 280-nucleotide long non-coding RNA is filed under the name Vigna radiata. RNAcentral describes it as "long non-coding RNA (VRAD_LNC008134)". Lineage: Eukaryota; Viridiplantae; Streptophyta; Magnoliopsida; Fabales; Fabaceae. The record is from RNAcentral.
AUUUUUAUACAUCAUUCUAGAAUCCUUCUAGAUAGGAUAUUUCUAGAAUUCUAUUUUGGGCCUUCUUUAGUUUUUGGGCCUUAUCUAGUCUUGGGCUUUUAUCUUUUAGGCCCAAUUUACAUUCUAACUCUUUUUCCCUAGGAGCUUCUCCAUUCUUCUAGAAUUUGCAUUACACUUUAACAAGUUCGUUGAAUGUGUAGUUCCCUGGUGUUUUGGGCUUGCAUAACCAAUAGGUUUCAUGAUAUAGGGAAGUACAUAUUUUCUCCUUAUGUGAGCGUGU